AAUAACUAAUCCAGCAACAUGUUGAAAUUAGCUAUUGUCUGUGCCGCUAUAGCCUUCGUGGCUACUCAAUCAACAGAUGGUCCAACUCCUCAUCCUCAUCCCGAUCCUCAUUCUCACCCAACUCCGCAUCCUCAUCCCGAUCCUCAUUCUCACCCAACUCCUCAUCCUGAUCCUCAUUCUCACCCAACUCCUCAUCCUCAUCCUGAUCCUCAUUCUCACCCAACUCCCCACCCUCAUGAAACUCAUCCACCUCAUGUUGAUGAAACUUUCCACUUCUUUAACGAUAAAGACAAUAACAAAAUGGCGAUCAAGACAAAGACAGCUUGCUACAUCUUUACUUUGACUGCUGAUCAACAACAAGCUCUCCUAACUCCAGAUGGUAUUCAAGCCACCGAGCUUGCCUUGGUUGGUAAGAUCUCUACUGGAACACAAACUCCACUGACACCUCAAGAUAUGCAUACAGAUAUUGCUCAUCAUUGUGGACACGAUAAUGUCUUUGCUGUUAGUCAAUAAAAUAUUAUUAAUUUUAUUGGAAAUGAUUUAAGCAUUUAUUAUGCAAUAAAAGGUGCUUUAUGUAAGAGCUAA
Patella vulgata (common limpet) is the source of this 585-nucleotide long non-coding RNA. RefSeq lists it as uncharacterized. Lineage: Eukaryota; Metazoa; Mollusca; Gastropoda; Patellidae. The transcript has 4 exons. The record is from RefSeq and is a predicted model, not a curated record.